Molecule: ribosomal RNA, 238 nt
Filed under: uncultured bacterium
Lineage: Bacteria
Description: partial 16S ribosomal RNA
Rfam family: Bacterial small subunit ribosomal RNA
Source: RNAcentral
CGACGUAAACAACCUGCCUUCAGGAUGGGGACAACAGACGGAAACGACUGCUAAUACCGAAUAAGUUCCAAGAGCCGCAUGGCCCAUGGAAGAAAAGGUGGCCUCUACCUGUAAGCUAUCGCCUGAAGAGGGGUUUGCGCCUGAUUAGCUGGUUGGAGGGGUAACGGCCCACCAAGGCGACGAUCAGUAGCCGGUCUGAGAGGAUGAACGGCCACACUGGAACUGAGACACGGUCCAG